UACAGAGGGGGCAAGCGUUGUUCGGAAUUACUGGGCGUAAAGGGCGCGUAGGCGGCCUGCUAAGUCGAACGUGAAAUCCCUGGGCUCAACCCAGGAACUGCGUCCGAUACUGGUUGGCUUGAAUCCGGGAGAGGGAUGUGGAAUUCCAGGUGUAGCGGUGAAAUGCGUAGAUAUCUGGAGGAACACCGGUGGCGAAGGCGACAUCCUGGACCGGUAUUGACGCUGAGGCGCGAAAGCCAGGGGAGCAAACAGG
RNAcentral lists this ribosomal RNA (253 nucleotides) under uncultured bacterium. Its description in RNAcentral is "partial 16S ribosomal RNA". It matches the Rfam family "Bacterial small subunit ribosomal RNA", at positions 524 to 776 of the family's 1533-position model. The record is from RNAcentral.